AAAGAUUAAGCCAUGCAUGUCUAAGUAUAAGCAAUCUAUACAGUGAAACUGCGAAUGGCUCAUUAAAUCAGUUAUCGUUUAUUUGAUAGUACCUUACUACUUGGAUAACCGUGGUAAUUCUAGAGCUAAUACAUGCUAAAAAUCCCAACCUCUGGAAGGGAUGUAUUUAUUAGAUAAAAAACCAAUGCCCUUCGGGGCUUCUUGGUGAUUCAUGAUAACUAAACGGAUCGCAUGGCCUUGCGCCGGCGACGGUUCAUUCAAAUUUCUGCCCUAUCAACUUUCGAUGGUAAGGUAUUGGCUUACCAUGGUUU
This 311-nucleotide ribosomal RNA is filed under the name uncultured fungus. Its description in RNAcentral is "SSU rRNA". It matches the Rfam family "Eukaryotic small subunit ribosomal RNA", at positions 39 to 352 of the family's 1831-position model. The record is from RNAcentral. Lineage: Eukaryota; Fungi.